Molecule: ribosomal RNA, 305 nt
Filed under: uncultured bacterium
Lineage: Bacteria
Description: partial 16S ribosomal RNA
Rfam family: Bacterial small subunit ribosomal RNA
Source: RNAcentral
ACAGCAGCAGCCACGGGAAUACGAAGGGUGCAAACGUUACUCGGAAUUACUGGGCGUAAAGCGUGCGUAGGUGGUUGUUUAAGUCUGCUGUGAAAGCCCUGGGCUCAACCUGGGAAUUGCAGUGGAUACUGGGCAACUAGAGUAAGGUAGAGGAUAGUGGAAUUUCCGGUGUAGCAGUGAAAUGCGUAGAGAUCGGAAGGAACAUCUGUGGCGAAGGCGACUAUCUGGGCCAUUACUGACACUGAGGCACGAAAGCGUGGGGAGCAAACAGGAUUAGAUACCCGCGUAGUCCCUGUCUCUUAUAC